RNAcentral lists this long non-coding RNA (972 nucleotides) under Triticum aestivum (bread wheat). RNAcentral's name for it is "long non-coding RNA (TAES_LNC024528)". The record is from RNAcentral. Lineage: Eukaryota; Viridiplantae; Streptophyta; Magnoliopsida; Poales; Poaceae.
UCAGACCAGAGCAGAAACACAACGGUUGGGGUACCAAGUGCAUGUAGAGUUACACAAUGGAGUACUGUAGCAGUAGCACCGAAUACCAAUAAGCUUAACUUCCACAAAUAAGGUACAAGUGCAUAGCUUAACUUCCACAAAUAAGGUACAAGUGCAUAGUGCCAAAGUUCAUUAGCAACUGCUAAUAUGCACGGAGAGUAACGCCACAUAUCAGCGAACAUAAUUAAACAACUAGGGUUCCAUAACAUCACGGUACAUAACUAAAUUGUUCAAUAGCUCGGUUGGUCAAACCAUGGGUAAGGCUGGCUAUUCAAGGAUAUUUUGCAGAAGAAGAGUAGACCAACAAACUGUAACCUCCAUCUUGCAGAAAAUAAGAUCACAUACGUCUGUACUUCUUCCUGACGCUUGCAUCUCAAAGUCGACUGUACAUUGUGCAGAAAACCCAUCCCGAGAGGCCUUCACAGAAACAACCAGUUUUCCCUUUGGUUCAUCUACAGAAACAACAUGCCUCACAAGCUCAACCACACCAUCAGACUUGGUAGGCAGUUUUCCAUCUGGAAAAUCAAGCAGCACCACUUUCCCUCCUUUUACACUGUCGGUACUGCAAGCAACCAGCCCCGGACACUGAUCAGGCCAUGACCCAUCAACAACUCGGACACCCACAGUGGCCUGAACUGACGAAGGCAGCACUGCCAAAGCAAACUCAAGUGUGCAGCGCUUGCAGGGAAUAGGUCUUGGUAUCAGAAGACCGAACCGAAAAUCUUGACGAAACUCAUAAAAUUUGUAAGUCAACACUUCAUCCUCAGACUCUUUUUUGCACUUUACUUUUAACUGAACAUCAAUGAAAACCCUGCCAAGUAACCAAAUGCUUGAGACGGGCCUGUUAAGCGCAAAAAUGGAUCCUGCAAUGCAAGCAUCACAAUAAUAACUAAUUAAUUACCUGCCAGACUAUUAAAAGAAGUUGAAGCAGAA